RNAcentral lists this ribosomal RNA (497 nucleotides) under uncultured bacterium. RNAcentral describes it as "partial 16S ribosomal RNA". It matches the Rfam family "Bacterial small subunit ribosomal RNA", at positions 28 to 507 of the family's 1533-position model. The record is from RNAcentral.
GAUGAACGCUGGCGGCGUGCCUAAUACAUGCAAGUCGAGCGAACAGACGAGGAGCUUGCUCCUCUGACGUUAGCGGCGGACGGGUGAGUAACACGUGGAUAACCUACCUAUAAGACUGGGAUAACUUCGGGAAACCGGAGCUAAUACCGGAUAAUAUAUUGAACCGCAUGGUUCAAUAGUGAAAUACGGUUUUGCUGUCACUUAUAGAUUGAUCCGCGCCGCAUUAGCUAGUUGGUAAGGUAACGGCUUACCAAGGCGACGAUGGGUAACCGACCUGAGAGGGUGAUCGGCCACACGGGAACUGAGACACGGUACAGACUCCUACGGGAGGAAGCAGUAGGGAAUCUUACGCAAUGGGCGAAAGCCUGACGGAGCAACGCCGCGUGAGUGAUGAAGGUCUUCGGAUCGUAAAACUAUGUUAUUAGGGAAGAACAAAUGUGUAAGUAACUAUGCACGUCUUGACGGUACCUAAUCAGAAAGCCACGGCUAACUACGUG